RNAcentral lists this small nuclear RNA (123 nucleotides) under Lathyrus oleraceus (garden pea). RNAcentral describes it as "Pisum sativum (pea) non-coding RNA". It matches the Rfam family "U5 spliceosomal RNA". Rfam says of the family: U5 RNA is a component of both types of known spliceosome. Lineage: Eukaryota; Viridiplantae; Streptophyta; Magnoliopsida; Fabales; Fabaceae. The record is from RNAcentral.
GGGAGCCAUGUGAUAAGUGCAAAGCGAACUAUCUUUCGCCUUUUACUAAAGAAUACUGUGUACGUGUCACAAGCGGUGGCAUACGAGUAAUUUUUGAAUGAGUUCUCUUGUUAGAGAACUCUG